GGAGAAUUAGCUCAGCUGGGAGAGCGUCUGCCUUACAAGCAGGAUGUCGGGGGUUCGAGCCCCUCAUUCUCCA
Molecule: non-coding RNA, 73 nt
Organism: Aerococcus viridans
Lineage: Bacteria; Bacillati; Bacillota; Bacilli; Lactobacillales; Aerococcaceae
Source: Rfam